CCAGGGAGCCCCUUGGAUUCCCAUCCCAGCCCCACAGUUGCACCCCAUCCCCAGAGAUCCCAUCCCAGCCCCUCAGAGUCCUCCAUUCUCACAGAUCCCAGCCCAGCCCUGGCUCCCCCCAGUCCCCCCACUCUGGUUGUACCAGCCCCGUCUCCAGGGAACUGUCAGCCACGGGCCGGGUCCUGUCCUUGAGCCAGGGCUGGAUAUCCCAAUAUCCCAGUUCUGGCUCUCCCAAUAUCCCAGCUCUGCCUAUCCCUGUAUCCCAGUCCUUGGUACCCCAGUAUCCCAGCCCUGGCUAUCCCAAUAUCCCAGCUCUGGCUAUCUCUGUAUCCCAGCUCUGGCCAUCCCAAUAUCCCAGUUCUGGCUAUCCAAAUAUCCCGGCUCUGGCUUUGCCAAUAUCCCAGCCCUGGCCAUCCCAAUAUCCCAGCUCUGGCUAUCCCAAUGUCCCAACUUUGGCUAUACCAAUAUCCCGGCCCUGGCUGUCUCAAUAUCCCAGCUCCACCUAUCCCAACAUCCUGGCUCUGGCUAUCCCAGUAUCCCAGCUCUGGCUUUCCCAGUAUCCCAGCCCUGGCUAUCCCAAUAUCCCAGCUCUAGCUAUCCCAAUAUCCCGGCUCUGGCUACCCCAAUGUUCCAGCCCUGCCUACCCCAAUAUCUCAGCUCUGGCCAUCCCAGCUCUGGCUAUCCCGAUAUCAGGGCUCUGGCUCUCACAGUAUCCCAGCUCUGGCCAUCCCAAUAUCCCAGUUCUGGCUCUCCCAAUAUCCCAGCCCUGGCCAUCCCAAUAUCCUAGCCCUGGCCAUCCCAAUAUCCCAGCUAUGGCUAUUCCAAUAUCCAAGCUCAGCUCCUCCCAGCAUUCCUGCUUUCUGUGGCUCCAUCUGGCCCUGCUCGCUGCCCCAGCGCUCCCAGGGGGUCCCAUCCACAUCCUCCACAAUCAAGGACUUGGGACCCCCGGGUUGGGCUCUGACAGUGCCACUUCCCAGUACUGUAGGGAGGGGAGAACAGGGCGACAUGGAGAUUUGAGGGGGCUGGGGGACUGAAAGUGAGAGUUUUGGAUCCGGG
Molecule: long non-coding RNA, 1056 nt
Filed under: Zonotrichia albicollis (white-throated sparrow)
Lineage: Eukaryota; Metazoa; Chordata; Aves; Passeriformes; Passerellidae
Description: lncRNA (ENSZALG00000009802.1)
Source: RNAcentral